GAGUUAUGUAUACAUGCGAGGUUAAGGAGAAGAUCCGGAGCCGUAGCGAAAGCGAGUCUGAAUAGGGCGUUCAGUAUGUGUAUGUAGACCCGAAACCCGACGAUCUAGCCAUGAUCAAGAUGAAGUAAGGGUCAAACCUUAUGGAGGUCUGAACCGACGUUCGUUGAAACGACCGCGGAUGAAUUGUGGCUCGUGGUGAAAUUCCAAUCGAGUCGGGUAAUAGCUGGUUCUCCUCGAAAUAGCUUUAGGGCUAGCCUCAGAACACUACAUUUUGGAGGUAGAGCACUGAAUGAAAGCGAGCCGCGCCAAGCGGUAUCAAUUUCAAUCAAACUCCGAAUUCCGAGAUGCUUAUUCUGGGAGUCAGACUGUGGGAGAUAAGUUUCAUGGUCAAAAGGGCAACAGCCCGGACCGCCAACUAAGGUCCCUAAAUUCGCGCUAAGUGUUAAAGGAUGUAGAGAUACUUAAACAGCUAGGAUGUUGGCUCAGAGGCAGCCAUCAUUUAAAGAAUGCGUAACAGCUCACUAGUCAAGUGUCUCCGCGCCGAAAAUUUACCGGGGCUAAGCGCGAUACCGAAGUUGCGGAUAUUUCUAAAGAAAUGUGGUAGGGGAGCGUUCCAUUAGCAUAGAAGCCAUACCGGAAGGAGUGGUGGAGCGAAUGGAAGUGAGAAUGCCGGCGUAAGUAACGAUAAGAGGUGAGAAUCCUCUUCACCAUUUGACUAAGGUUUCCUGGGCUAGGUUCGUCCACCCAGGGUCAGUCGGGACCUAAGACGAGGCCGAAAGGCGUAGCCGAUGGACAGCAGGUUAAUAUUCCUGAACCCGGUUGUGUGCGAUCGCAGUGACGAAAGCGGUUAGGUUUACCCACGAAUGGAAGUGUGGGGAGAUAGUGAUAAGCUGUCGGCUAGAAUCCGACACCAAGUGAAACACCGAAGUACGAAAGGGGUGACCUGAGUAGGAAGUAGCUGAUACCGAUUUCCAAGAAAAGCUGCUAGCUUAAGCACAAUCGGCCCGUACCGAGAACGGACACACGUGGUCAAGGAGAGUAUCCUAAGGUGAGCGAGAUAACUGUUGUUAAGGAACUCUGCAAAAUUACUUCGUAAGUUAGCGAGAAGAAGUGCUCCGUAAAAGGAGCCGCAGUGAAGAGGCCCAAGUAACUGUUUACCAAAAACACAGCUCUAUGCUAAGUCGUAAGACGAUGUAUAUGGGGUGAAGCCUGCCCGGUGCCGGAAGGUUAAUAGGAGAGGUGAAAGCUUUGAAUUGAAGCCCCGGUGAACGGCGGCCGUAACUAUAACGGUCCUAAGGUAGCGAAAUUCCUUGUCAGGUAAGUUCUGACGUGCACGAAUGGUUUAAUAAUUUGGGCGCUGUCUCGACAGCAGACUCGGUGAAAUCUUAAUACCGGUGAAGAUGCCGGUUACCCGCGACUAGACGGAAAGACCCCAUGGAGCUUUACUACAACUUAAUAUUGAGUAAUUGCAAAUCAUGUAGAGGAUAGGUGGGAGGCUAUGAAGUAAUGGCGCUAGCUAUUAUGGAGCCGCCCUUGGAAUACCACCCUUGAUUUACAGUUAUUCUAACUUCCUCCCUGGAUGGGAGGGAAGACAGUGUUAGGCGGGUAGUUUGGCUGGGGCGGCCGCCUCCCAAAUAGUAACGGAGGCGCCCUAAGGUACCCUCAGUAUGGU
RNAcentral lists this ribosomal RNA (1672 nucleotides) under metagenome. Its description in RNAcentral is "bacterial LSU rRNA". It matches the Rfam family "Bacterial large subunit ribosomal RNA", at positions 625 to 2331 of the family's 2925-position model. The record is from RNAcentral.